AGUGAGCGGGCCGCGGCCUUGGCUGAGAGGCCUUAACCCCGCCGGCCGCCGCGCCCUGCAUGCGAGUUGGGCCGCGGGCGGGGUUGGAGCCUACUCGGGGCGACGGCGAUGGACGCCUUAGAAGAAGAGAGCUUUGCGCUGUCUUUCACCUAAUCCAGGCAUGUUUUUCAGCUCCUCCACCUCUGAUGCAGAAUUUGAUGCUGUGGUUGGAUAUUUAGAGGACAUUAUCAUGG
This 233-nucleotide small RNA is filed under the name Pongo abelii (Sumatran orangutan). Its description in RNAcentral is "processed transcript". Lineage: Eukaryota; Metazoa; Chordata; Mammalia; Primates; Hominidae. The record is from RNAcentral.